This 1415-nucleotide ribosomal RNA is filed under the name metagenome. Its description in RNAcentral is "bacterial SSU rRNA". It matches the Rfam family "Bacterial small subunit ribosomal RNA". The record is from RNAcentral.
GGCGUGCCUAAUACAUGCAAGUCGAACGGAGAUAGCAAUAUCUUAGUGGCGUUCGGGUGCGUAACACGUAGCUGACCUACCCCUCGGCGGGGGACAACUGCUGGAAACGGCAGCUAAUACCGCAUAUAUUUAAGAUGUCCAGAAAGUCUUAAAGAAACUUACGGGGUCGAGGGAGGGGGCUGCGGCCCAUCAGGUAGUUGGUGAGGUAACGGCUCACCAAGCCGACGACGGGUAGGGGGCCUGAGAGGGUGGUCCCCCACACUGGGACUGACAACGGCCCAGACUCCUACGGGAGGCAGCAGUAAGGAAUAUUGCACAAUGGGCGAAAGCCUGAUGCAGCAACGCCGCGUGCAGGAUGAAGGCCUUCGGGUCGUAAACUGCUUUGGACCCUGACGUGCAAGGACGGUAGGGGUCGAACAAGUCACGGCUAACUACGUGCCAGCAGCCGCGGUAAAACGUAGGUGACAAGCGUUAUCCGGAUUUACUGGGCGUAAAGGGUGUGCAGGCGGGGGGAUAAGUGGUGUAUGAAAGUGCCCGGCUUAACCGGGCGAGGCUAUGCCAGACUGUCCUUCUUGAGCGCGAGAGAGGAGCGUGGAAUUCCGGGUGUAGUGGUGAAAUGCGUAGAGAUCCGGAGGAACCCCAGAGGCGAAGGCGGCGCUCUGGCUCGCGACUGACGCUCAGACACGACAGCAUGGGGAGCGAACGGGAUUAGAAACCCCGGUAGUCCAUGCCGUAAACGAUGCCGACUAGGCGCUGGUGGUUUGAACGCUGCCGGUGCCGCAGCAAACGCGAUAAGUCGGCCGCCUGGGGAGUACGACCGCAAGGUUAAAACUCAAAGGAAUUGACGGGGGCCCGCACAAGCAGCGGAGCGUGUGGUUUAAUUCGAGACUACACGAAGAACCUUACCUAGACUUGACAUGGGUGCGAACGAAGGUGAAAGCCUGAGGUCCGCAAGGCGCAUCCACAGGUGCUGCAUGGCUGUCGUCAGCUCGUGCCGUGAGGUGUUAGGUUAAGUCCUGUAACGAGCGCAACCCUCGGCUCCAGUUACACGUUGUCUGGAGCAACUGCCCGUGACAAGCGGGAGGAAGGUGGGGAUGACGUCAAGUCAGCAUGGCCUUUAUGUCUAGGGCUACACACACGCUACAAUGGGCGGUACAAUGGGUUGCCAACCCGCAAGGGGGAGCCAAUCCUGCAAAGCCGUCCCCAGUUCAGAUUGUAGGCUGCAACCCGCCUACAUGAAGUCGGAGUUGCUAGUAACCGCCGGUCAGCUAUACGGCGGUGAAUACGUUCCCGGGCCUUGUACACACCGCCCGUCACGUCAUGGGAGCUGGUCACGCCUGAAGCCAGUGGGCUAACCGCAAGGAGGCAACUGUCCAAGGCAGGGCCGGUGACUGGGACGAAGUCGUAGCAAGGUA